UGCCCAUCACAGAUGAAUGGAUAAAGAAGAUGUGGUACAAGAAAUUGUUAAUGUGGCUACAUUGAGAGGCAGGUCGUGCUUCCAUCACAGUGCUUUUAUUGCAGUGGUGACAAUGAGACCUGUAACAUUU
Small nucleolar RNA from Manis pentadactyla (Chinese pangolin), 130 nucleotides. RefSeq annotates it as small nucleolar RNA SNORA1. NCBI's taxonomy places the organism in Eukaryota, Metazoa, Chordata, Mammalia, Pholidota, Manidae. The record is from RefSeq and is a predicted model, not a curated record. The transcript has a single exon.